RNAcentral lists this ribosomal RNA (446 nucleotides) under uncultured bacterium. RNAcentral describes it as "bacterial SSU rRNA". It matches the Rfam family "Bacterial small subunit ribosomal RNA", at positions 329 to 792 of the family's 1533-position model. The record is from RNAcentral.
GUCCAGACUCCUACGGGAGGCAGCAGUGGGGAAUAUUGCACAAUGGGGGAAACCCUGAUGCAGCGACGCCGCGUGAGUGAAGAAGUAUUUCGGUAUGUAAAGCUCUCUCAGCAGGGAAGAUAAUGACGGUACCUGAGUAAGAAGCCCCGGCUAACUACGUGCCAGCAGCCGCGGUAAUACGUAGGGGGCAAGCGUUAUCCGGAUUUACUGGGUGUAAAGGGAGCGUAGACGGCAUGGCAAGUCUGAAGUGAAAGCCCGGGGCUCAACCGCGGGACUGCUUUGGAAACUGUUAAGCUGGAGUGCAGGAGAGGUAAGUGGAAUUCCUAGUGUAGCGGUGAAAUGCGUAGAUAUUAGGAGGAACACCAGUGGCGAAGGCGGCUUACUGGACUGUAACUGACGUUGAGGCUCGAAAGCGUGGGGAGCAAACAGGAUUAGAUACCCGUGUA